CUCAAAUUUGAAAUCUGGCCCCUCCGGGGUCCGAGUUGUAAUUUGCAGAGGAUGCUUCGGGCGCGGUCCCCGUCUAAGUACCCUGGAACGGGUCGUCAUAGAGGGUGAGAAUCCCGUCUGGGACGGGUGGCCGUGUCCGUGUGAAGCUCCUUCGACGAGUCGAGUUGUUUGGGAAUGCAGCUCUAAAUGGGUGGUAAAUUUCAUCUAAAGCUAAAUAUUGGCCGGAGACCGAUAGCGCACAAGUAGAGUGAUCGAAAGAUGAAAAGCACUUUGAAAAGAGAGUUAAACAGCACGUGAAAUUGUUGAAAGGGAAGCGCUUGCGACCAGACUCGCCCGCGGGGGUUCAGCCGGUACUCGUACCGGUGUACUCCCCCGGGGCGGGCCAGCGUCGGUUUGGGCGGUCGGUCAAAGGCCUCCGGAAUGUGUCGCCCCCCGGGGCGUCUUAUAGCCGGAGGUGCAAUGCGGCCAGCCUGGACCGAGGAACGCGCUUCGGCUCGGACGCUGGCGUAAUGGUCGUAAGCGGCC
This 525-nucleotide ribosomal RNA is filed under the name Paecilomyces variotii. RNAcentral's name for it is "partial large subunit ribosomal RNA". It matches the Rfam family "Eukaryotic large subunit ribosomal RNA", at positions 108 to 649 of the family's 3401-position model. Lineage: Eukaryota; Fungi; Ascomycota; Eurotiomycetes; Eurotiales; Thermoascaceae. The record is from RNAcentral.